Molecule: ribosomal RNA, 160 nt
Filed under: Pyrularia pubera (oil nut)
Lineage: Eukaryota; Viridiplantae; Streptophyta; Magnoliopsida; Santalales; Cervantesiaceae
Description: 5.8S ribosomal RNA
Rfam family: 5.8S ribosomal RNA
About the family: 5.8S ribosomal RNA (5.8S rRNA) is a component of the large subunit of the eukaryotic ribosome. It is transcribed by RNA polymerase I as part of the 45S precursor that also contains 18S and 28S rRNA.
Source: RNAcentral
UGAAAUGACUCUCGGCAACGGAUAUCUCGGCUCUCGCAUCGAUGAAGAACGCAGCAAAAUGCGAUACUUGGUGUGAAUUGCAGAAUCCCGUGAAUCAUCGAGUUUUUGAACGCAAGUUGCGCCCGAAGCCUUUUGGCUGAGGGCACGUCUGCCUGGGCGU